RNAcentral lists this ribosomal RNA (805 nucleotides) under uncultured bacterium. RNAcentral describes it as "bacterial SSU rRNA". It matches the Rfam family "Bacterial small subunit ribosomal RNA", at positions 1 to 807 of the family's 1533-position model. The record is from RNAcentral.
CCCUUAGAGGUUGAUUCUGGCUCAGGAUGAACGCUGGCGGCGUGCUUAACACAUGCAAGUCGAACGGGAAACAUUUUAAUGAAGCUUCGGCAGAUUUAGCUUGUUUCUAGUGGCGGACGGGUGAGUAACGCGUGGGUAACCUGCCUCACACUGGGGGAUAACAGUCAGAAAUGACUGCUAAUACCGCAUAAGCGCACGGAACCGCAUGGUUUUGUGUGAAAAACUCCGGUGGUGUGAGAUGGACCCGCGUUGGAUUUACCAGUUGGCAGGGCAACGGCCCUACCAAAAGCGACGAUCCAUAGCCGGCUGGAGAGGGUGAACGGCCACAUUGGGACUGAGACACGGCCCAGACUCCUACGGGAGGCAGCAGUGGGGAAUAUUGCACAAUGGGGGAAACCCUGAUGCAGCGACGCCGCGUGAAGGAAGAAGUAUCUCGGUAUGUAAACUUCUAUCAGCAGGGAAGAAAAUGACGGUACCUGACUAAGAAGCCCCGGCUAACUACGUGCCAGCAGCCGCGGUAAUACGUAGGGGGCAAGCGUUAUCCGGAUUUACUGGGUGUAAAGGGAGCGUAGACGGAAUGGCAAGUCUGAUGUGAAAGGCAGGGGCUCAACCCCUGGACUGCAUUGGAAACUGUCAGUCUUGAGUACUGGAGGGGUAAGCGGAAUUCCUAGUGUAGCGGUGAAAUGCGUAGAUAUUAGGAGGAACACCAGUGGCGAAGGCGGCUUACUGGACGGUAACUGACGUUGAGGCUCGAAAGCGUGGGGAGCAAACAAGAUUAGAUACCCUGGUAGUCCACGCCGUAAAC